This is a long non-coding RNA of Penaeus monodon (black tiger shrimp), 226 nucleotides long. RefSeq lists it as uncharacterized. The transcript is spliced from 2 exons. Lineage: Eukaryota; Metazoa; Arthropoda; Malacostraca; Decapoda; Penaeidae. The record is from RefSeq and is a predicted model, not a curated record.
UUCAGGAUCUUCAUAAAUAUGAACGACUCGCGCCCCAAAUAAAGAGGGCAGAUUGUUAGUCGGUUGACCAAUCAACAGUCAGCAUGCUACACGUAACAAGCCAUGGCUGGCUUAUUGCCACGCAUCCAACGGUCACCAACACCAUGGAAGGUCCAACGACUGUCUCCCCGAGCGAUAUUUCCAGACAUUCAACCAAUUAUUGUAAAAUAAACGAACUAUGAUUAAU